AAUGGGCGCAAGCCUGAUCCAGCCAUGCCGCGUGAGUGAAGAAGGCCUUCGGGUUGUAAAGCUCUUUCGGCCGGAACGAAAUCGCGCCCCCUAAUACGGGGUGUGGAUGACGGUACCGGAAGAAGAAGCACCGGCUAACUACGUGCCAGCAGCCGCGGUAAUACGUAGGGUGCGAGCGUUAAUCGGAAUUACUGGGCGUAAAGCGUGCGCAGGCGGCGCGCCAAGUCAGAUGUGAAAGCCCCGGGCUUAACCUGGGAAUUGCGUUUGAAACUGGCGGGCUGGAGUGUGGCAGAGGGAGGUGGAAUUCCACGUGUAGCAGUGAAAUGCGUAGAGAUGUGGAGGAACACCGAUGGCGAAGGCAGCCUCCUGGGCCAACACUGACGCUCAUGCACGAAAGCGUGGGGAGCAAA
This 410-nucleotide ribosomal RNA is filed under the name uncultured bacterium. Its description in RNAcentral is "bacterial SSU rRNA". It matches the Rfam family "Bacterial small subunit ribosomal RNA", at positions 370 to 772 of the family's 1533-position model. The record is from RNAcentral.